This 433-nucleotide ribosomal RNA is filed under the name uncultured bacterium. Its description in RNAcentral is "partial 16S ribosomal RNA". It matches the Rfam family "Bacterial small subunit ribosomal RNA", at positions 29 to 507 of the family's 1533-position model. The record is from RNAcentral.
AACGAACGCUGGCGGCAUGCCUAACACAUGCAAGUCGAACGAGACCUUCGGGUCUAGUGGCGCACGGGUGCGUAACGCGUGGGAACCUGCCCUUAGGUUCGGAAUAACUCCCCGAAAGGGGUGCUAAUCCCGGAUAAUUUCUUCGGACCAAAGAUUUAUCGCCUUUGGAUGGGCCCGCUUUGGUUUACCUAUUUGGUAGGGUAAAAGCCUCCCAAAGCGACGAUCCAUAGCUGGGCUGGGAGGAUGGUCAGCCACACUGGGAAUGGGACCCGGCCCAGACUCCUACGGGAGGCAGGAGGGGGGAAUAUUGGAAAAUGGGCGAAAGCCUGAUCCAGCAAUGCCGCGUGAGUGAUGAAGGCCUUAGGGUUGUAAAGCUCUUUUACCCGGGAUGAUAAUGACAGUACCGGGAGAAUAAGCUCCGGCUAACUCCGUG